ACAGUGGUGGAUCAGUGGUAGAAUCCUCACCUUCCAGGAAGGAGACCUGGGUUCCAUUCCCAGCCAAUGUA
Molecule: transfer RNA, 71 nt
Filed under: Loxodonta africana (African savanna elephant)
Lineage: Eukaryota; Metazoa; Chordata; Mammalia; Proboscidea; Elephantidae
Rfam family: tRNA
About the family: Transfer RNA (tRNA) molecules are approximately 80 nucleotides in length. Their secondary structure includes four short double-helical elements and three loops (D, anti-codon, and T loops).
Source: Rfam by way of RNAcentral